RNAcentral lists this ribosomal RNA (99 nucleotides) under Helianthus annuus (common sunflower). Lineage: Eukaryota; Viridiplantae; Streptophyta; Magnoliopsida; Asterales; Asteraceae. The record is from RNAcentral.
CUUAGUUCGUUGUGGAGCACAUGAAAACUCCACAGUUAAGCGUACUAAGGUGGGAGUAGUACUAAGAUGGGUGACCUCCUGUAAAGUCUCCACCUGGGC